Molecule: long non-coding RNA, 380 nt
Organism: Chroicocephalus ridibundus (black-headed gull)
Lineage: Eukaryota; Metazoa; Chordata; Aves; Charadriiformes; Laridae
Exons: 3
Source: RefSeq, a predicted model, not a curated record
CGGCGGGCGGCCGCGGCCUCUCUCGGCCGCUGCUGCCGCCAUCUUGUGGGGCUGCCGCCGCCGCCGCCGCCUCCAUCCGGUUCCAUCCGCCGCCCCCGCCGGCGCCCGCCCGCCGGGACUGACCGCGGCGCCGCCGCACCGCCAUGAGGGCCAAGUGGCGCAAGAAGCGGAUGCGCAGGCUGAAGCGCAAGAGGAGGAAGAUGAGGCAAAGGUCCAAGUAGGCCCUGCCGGGCCGCCGCCGCCGCCACCGGGGAGAGACGUCCCGGUGCCCCGGAGACGUCCCGGUGCCCCGUGGGAGGAGGCCCGGCGCCGCGGGGGGAUCCCGCCGCGCCGGGCCGGUUGUGUGCUAUGUGCCGCCAAUAAAGCUGGUGUUGUCGGGA